This is a long non-coding RNA of Quercus robur (English oak), 574 nucleotides long. RefSeq lists it as uncharacterized. The transcript has 2 exons. Lineage: Eukaryota; Viridiplantae; Streptophyta; Magnoliopsida; Fagales; Fagaceae. The record is from RefSeq and is a predicted model, not a curated record.
UUCUGUUAAUAAACUAAUGGUAAAACUCACGUGAGAGGCACGUGGGAAUAAAAGCUAAAGCUAAACAGCCUGAACCGUUGAGAGGGAGGGAGAAAGUUUGAGCUUAGUUUAGAGAGAGGGGAGAUGAUCCAACCAGAAGUCCAUAAUCACCUCAGUAUCCUCUCUCCGGUGCCGGAGUUCCACCGUCAUCUCACUGGCUGUUCACCUCUGGUAAUCAUAAUGUAUACUGUUGGAGAAGAACAAAGUUGCAAUGCACAUAGAGGAUCCCUAAGUGGCAUGGAGUACAUAUCAAUAUAUUUUACCAAAAUGUCAAACUCGUUUGUCAUAUGGAGAAAAUCAAUCAACAUGAAGGAGAUGUUUUCAGUGGCUUUUGUAAAUCUGGACUCUAGUGCCAGCUUACUAUAUAUACAUUGCAGUGACUAUCUAUGUAGGAGCCCCAAAAAAAGAGCUUGUGAUGUAAUAUACCUACCUAUUUAGAUUAGAUGUAAUAUAAUAUAAAAAUAUUCACAACUAUGUAAUGUUCAACUUGUGAAAUUAAUGGAAUUCCACCAAUGUAUGAGUUAUUGAAAAAGCU